AACGAACGCUGGCGGCAGGCCUAACACAUGCAAGUCGAACGCCGUAGCAAUACGGAGUGGCAGACGGGUGAGUAACGCGUGGGAACAUACCCCCUCGGUUCGGAAUAACUCAGGGAAACUUGAGCGUAAUACCGGAUACGUCCGAGGUUUUAAUCGACCUGGGAGAAAGAUUUAUCGCCGGAGGAUUGGCCCGCGUCUGAUUAGCUUGUUGGUGAGGUAAUGGCUCACCAAGGCGACGAUCAGUAGCUGGUCUGAGAGGACGAUCAGCCACACUGGGACUGAGACACGGCCCAGACUCCUACGGGAGGCAGCAGUGGGGAAUCUUGCGCAAUGGCGCGAAAGCGUGACG
This 349-nucleotide ribosomal RNA is filed under the name uncultured bacterium. Its description in RNAcentral is "bacterial SSU rRNA". It matches the Rfam family "Bacterial small subunit ribosomal RNA", at positions 29 to 388 of the family's 1533-position model. The record is from RNAcentral.